CGGAAUGUUGCGUAGUUUGGCCUAUCGUAUCUGUUUUGGGUGCAGAAAUUCGCAGGUUCAAAUCCUGCCAUUCCGA
Molecule: transfer RNA, 76 nt
Filed under: Cryptomonas curvata
Lineage: Eukaryota; Cryptophyceae; Cryptomonadales; Cryptomonadaceae
Description: tRNA-Pro
Rfam family: tRNA
About the family: Transfer RNA (tRNA) molecules are approximately 80 nucleotides in length. Their secondary structure includes four short double-helical elements and three loops (D, anti-codon, and T loops). Further hydrogen bonds mediate the characteristic L-shaped molecular structure. tRNAs have two regions of fundamental functional importance: the anti-codon, which is responsible for specific mRNA codon recognition, and the 3' end, to which the tRNAs corresponding amino acid is attached (by aminoacyl-tRNA synthetases). tRNAs cope with the degeneracy of the genetic code in two manners: having more than one tRNA (with a specific anti-codon) for a particular amino acid; and 'wobble' base-pairing, i.e. permitting non-standard base-pairing at the 3rd anti-codon position.
Source: RNAcentral